This 305-nucleotide ribosomal RNA is filed under the name uncultured bacterium. Its description in RNAcentral is "bacterial SSU rRNA". It matches the Rfam family "Bacterial small subunit ribosomal RNA", at positions 332 to 635 of the family's 1533-position model. The record is from RNAcentral.
CAUAGCCUACGGGACGCAGCAGUGAGGAAUAUUGGUCAAUGGGCGGAAGCCUGAACCAGCCACGUCGCGUGAGGGAAUAAGGCCCUACGGGUCGUAAACCUCUUUUGCCGGGGAGCAAGGGCGGGGACGUGUCCCGGCCCGGAGAGUACCCGGAGAAAAAGCAUCGGUUAACUCCGUGCCAGCAGCCGCGGUAAUACGGAGGAUGCGAGCGUUAUCCGGAUUUAUUGGGUUUAAAGGGUGCGUAGGCGGGCUUUUAAGUCAGCGGUAAAAAUUCGGGGCUCAACCCCGUCCGGUCGUUGAAACUG